This 72-nucleotide transfer RNA is filed under the name Sphaerodactylus townsendi. RNAcentral's name for it is "tRNA-Ala". Lineage: Eukaryota; Metazoa; Chordata; Lepidosauria; Squamata; Sphaerodactylidae. The record is from RNAcentral.
GGGGUUGUGACUCAGCGGUAGACCAUCAGCUUUGCACGCGGAAAAUCCCCGGUUCAGUCCCUGGUAGCUCCA